This 450-nucleotide ribosomal RNA is filed under the name uncultured bacterium. Its description in RNAcentral is "partial 16S ribosomal RNA". It matches the Rfam family "Bacterial small subunit ribosomal RNA", at positions 354 to 796 of the family's 1533-position model. The record is from RNAcentral.
GUGGGGAAUUUUGGACAAUGGGGGCAACCCUGAUCCAGCAAUGCCGCGUGCAGGAAGAAGGCCUUCGGGUUGUAAACUGCUUUUGUACGGAACGAAACGGUCUGGGUUAAUACCCUGGGCUAAUGACGGUACCGUAAGAAUAAGCACCGGCUAACUACGUGCCAGCAGCCGCGGUAAUACGUAGGGUGCGAGCGUUAAUCGGAAUUACUGGGCGUAAAGCGUGCGCAGGCGGUUUUGUAAGACAGGCGUGAAAUCCCCGGGCUCAACCUGGGAAGUGCAUUCGUGACUGCAAGGCUAGAGUGUGUCAGAGGGAGGUGGAAUUCCGCGUGUAGCAGUGAAAUGCGUAGAGAUGCGGAGGAACACCGAUGGCGAAGGCAGCCUCCUGGGAUAACACUGACGCUCAGGCACGAAAGCGUGGGGAGCAAACAGGAUUAGAUACCCUUGUAGUCC